This 20-nucleotide small nuclear RNA is filed under the name Arabidopsis thaliana (thale cress). Its description in RNAcentral is "snRNA_03435". The record is from RNAcentral. Lineage: Eukaryota; Viridiplantae; Streptophyta; Magnoliopsida; Brassicales; Brassicaceae.
ACUGAAUCUUGUAACCGAUG